Molecule: transfer RNA, 76 nt
Filed under: Hordeum vulgare
Lineage: Eukaryota; Viridiplantae; Streptophyta; Magnoliopsida; Poales; Poaceae
Description: tRNA-OTHER
Rfam family: tRNA
About the family: Transfer RNA (tRNA) molecules are approximately 80 nucleotides in length. Their secondary structure includes four short double-helical elements and three loops (D, anti-codon, and T loops).
Source: RNAcentral
GCCUACUUAACUCAGUGGUUAGAGUAUUGCUUUCAAUACGGGCGGGAGUCAUUGGUUUCAAAUCCAAUAGUAGGUA